Molecule: unclassified non-coding RNA, 471 nt
Filed under: Hevea brasiliensis (rubber tree)
Lineage: Eukaryota; Viridiplantae; Streptophyta; Magnoliopsida; Malpighiales; Euphorbiaceae
Source: RNAcentral
GUUGAAGAAGGGAAGAAAUUGAGGUGGUUUCAUGGGUAACUACAGGUUUAGGUUAUCUGAUAUGAUGCCCAAUGCUUGGUUUUACAAGCUCAAGGAAAUAGGCAGAACCAGAAACCACAACACUACUGCUACUACCACUCAUUCCACGAAGAAAAAACAACCAACAGCAACAUCAGUAGCUGCUGCAGCUUCCCAGGCACAGCAAUCCAAAACAAAGCAACCCCACCAUCACCACCACCAAUACUCUUAUCCAAGAAAGUCUUACUACUUCACCAGAGAGCUUAUCCCAACUAACCCAAGAUUCCACAAUCCCACUAGCCCAAAAUCUACAGACUCCCAUUUCCAUGACCCACCAAAAAGAUCCUCCAAACAAAGACUACUCAAGAGAAGAGCUCUCAGGUCCUCCUCUCCCAAGCUUUUCACCUCCUCUGUUUCUGCUGGUUGCAGCUGCCGCGCUAACAUCUGGACUAA